RNAcentral lists this unclassified non-coding RNA (169 nucleotides) under uncultured Schizothecium. Its description in RNAcentral is "sequence contains ITS1". Lineage: Eukaryota; Fungi; Ascomycota; Sordariomycetes; Sordariales; Lasiosphaeriaceae. The record is from RNAcentral.
CAGAGUUGCAAAACUCCCAACCAUUGUGAACCUACCUCACCGUUGCUUCGGCGGGUGGCCCCCUAAACCCAGGCCGCGCCUGCCCCUCUCUCGGGGGGCCGGCAACCCGUCAGAAGACCGAAACUCUUUAUUAUAAUUGGCCUCUCUGAGUAACUUAUACAAUAAGUCA